This 471-nucleotide long non-coding RNA is filed under the name Arachis ipaensis. Its description in RNAcentral is "long non-coding RNA (AIPA_LNC001504)". The record is from RNAcentral. Lineage: Eukaryota; Viridiplantae; Streptophyta; Magnoliopsida; Fabales; Fabaceae.
UCAUAUUAUGAAAGAGAAUGAGAGGCUAAGGAAGAAAGCACAACUUCUCAACCAAGAGAAUCAAGCACUGCUCUCUGAACUCAAGCAGAAGCUUUCAAAGGCUAACAACAACAACAACACCAAUGAUGAUCCUAGCACCACUCUUGAUCUCAGUGUUGGAUCAACCUCAUUCUCUCAUCAGAAAAAAGCUUCCAGUUCCAGAAAUUAAUUAAUUAAUUAACCAACUGAGAGGCUUUUUUUUUUUUUCUUUUUUGGGGGUACAGUAAUGGUUGUAGUCUCUGUUCCAUAGGAAAACGAACACUAGCAUGCAUUUUCUCUGUCAGAGGUACUAUAAUUAAUUUCUUGUUAUAUUUCAAUGCAUUCAUCAUAUCUUUUGUAUUAGGGGUUCGGUUCGGAUAUGCAUGUGAAUUCUUGAUGUUAUUAUUAUGUUGAUGGAAAGGAAAAUAAUAUAUAAUUACAACGCUUUGUGUU